Molecule: ribosomal RNA, 465 nt
Filed under: uncultured bacterium
Lineage: Bacteria
Description: partial 16S ribosomal RNA
Rfam family: Bacterial small subunit ribosomal RNA
Source: RNAcentral
GAACGCUGGCGGCGUGCUUAACACAUGCAAGUCGAACGGAAAGGCCCUGCUUUUGUGGGGUGCUCGAGUGGCGAACGGGUGAGUAACACGUGAGUAACCUGCCCUUGACUUUGGGAUAACUUCAGGAAACUGGGGCUAAUACCGGAUAGGAGCUCCUGCUGCAUGGUGGGGGUUGGAAAGUUUCGGCGGUUGGGGAUGGACUCGCGGCUUAUCAGCUUGUUGGUGGGGUAGUGGCUUACCAAGGCUUUGACGGGUAGCCGGCCUGAGAGGGUGACCGGCCACAUUGGGACUGAGAUACGGCCCAGACUCCUACGGGAGGCAGCAGUGGGGAAUAUUGCACAAUGGGCGGAAGCCUGAUGCAGCAACGCCGCGUGCGGGAUGACGGCCUUCGGGUUGUAAACCGCUUUCGCCUGUGACGAAGCGUGAGUGACGGUAAUGGGUAAAGAAGCAUCGGCUAACUACGUG